GAAUAAUGAGAUUGAGAGGAGAGAAGUUUACCUCCUUGGAAAGAGUUCCAUUGAGUCCACACUAGCAAAGAUUAAACCUUCAUAGAAGUCAUUACCCUAAUGAUUGAAGUUUGAAUAAAGUUUGCAUCCAACCUCCAGUUGGUUUAAAUGCCUCAACUCUGUGCAUGAAAAACAUUGAUAUGUUAGAAUGUGAUUCUCUGUCUAGUCGUGUUCUUCUUCCCAUUGUUGUUGCUUUUUAGACAGUUGCACAGUGCAGGGAGAAGCCACAUUUGUUGACUCCUAAACAUCAACCGUAAUUGUUGACAAAAAAAACCCUGCAGCCAUAUUUUAUUAUAAUUGAAUUACCAUAGACGCCAUUCCACAAAUAGAAUUAAUGCAAUGUUAAACGGCACAUAAGUCAUUCCACAUUUCAACUAUGAAUGAAUGCGACAAUUGUGGCUAAUAUUUCAUUGGUCAACAUCUGUGAUUCUCCCAAUGCAGUGUAUAAUGGUCUGAAAAGCGAUAUACAGGAACAGGGACGGAUCCAAGAUUGGAUCCACGAUCGGGCUACAAAAUUUCAAGCCGGGCUACUACGUGGAAAAAAAAAUUUUUACACAUAAAAAACUGAUUUUUUACCCCAAAAAAAUAAAAAAUACCUUAAAAAAAAAUUCUUGGACCUGGGGGGGGGCUACAGCCCAACCCAACCCCCCCAUAUCCGUCUCUGUAUAGGAGAAGAGAAGUGCGACCAAACAGAUUAACAUGUCUAAUUGUAAUCAAUACAAUAAGUGUCAUAUAUCAUAAACGGUCUCGAUUGUUGUUUAUUGUUUAAGAAAAUUAUCGAGAUAUUAACUGUUAGGAAUUUUGCGUUCUUUUGUGUAGUUGUGUGAAAGUGGCCAAUCAAUCAAACAAAAAAUAGUAAAGAACACCAAAUCUUGGUCACCAAGUUCGGCCAAAUGCCUAAUCUGGGGGGCUCAGAGGCAAGCCCGUUCACUAUGUGCAAAGUAACCCUUCAAGAGACAGUGAAAACAAUGAAAAAACCACAGACAUCGGGUUUGAUCAUUGAUCCAAAGGAUCUCACACAAAUCAACCCUUAAUCAACCAAAGCACAAACACUCAAACUGCCGACCAAAACCAGACACAACAAAUGGCCAAAACAACCGGCCAAAGUUACUGUAGCAGGAAGGCUUUCACAUCACACUUCUAAAUAUACAAUGAUUCUAUGAAAAACCACAAGAAUCAAAAACCCAAAAGAAGAAGGAGAUGAAGUUUUCUCGAAGAGAACUCAAAGCCCAGAGAGAGAAAAAUUUUGAAGUCAAAAACGUGUAUCACUGAAAAGCCAAUGGACCAUCCCUUGAUAAACACAAUUGAAAAAUCAGAUUGCAUUUCAAC
RNAcentral lists this long non-coding RNA (1368 nucleotides) under Olea europaea (common olive). Its description in RNAcentral is "long non-coding RNA (OEUR_LNC005053)". The record is from RNAcentral. Lineage: Eukaryota; Viridiplantae; Streptophyta; Magnoliopsida; Lamiales; Oleaceae.